RNAcentral lists this unclassified non-coding RNA (230 nucleotides) under uncultured fungus. Its description in RNAcentral is "sequence contains ITS1". The record is from RNAcentral. Lineage: Eukaryota; Fungi.
GUUUUAAGUUUUAAUCGGGGCGGCCCCGAAUCGCAUUCAAAUAGACAUCAGAGUUGUUUAAAACGGGAGCGCGGUCACUACAACCGCCCUCCCAAAGGUUCACAGGUGUGUGGGGUUUGGAGGGGGGAGCGGGAACCCGACCGCAGCACGGCGUCGCCGCCGGUGCGGGCCGAAGCCCUCUCCCCCGCGAAGUUUCAAUAAUGAUCCUUCCGCAGGUUCACCUACGGAAA